This 425-nucleotide ribosomal RNA is filed under the name uncultured bacterium. RNAcentral's name for it is "partial 16S ribosomal RNA". It matches the Rfam family "Bacterial small subunit ribosomal RNA", at positions 354 to 796 of the family's 1533-position model. The record is from RNAcentral.
GUGGGGAAUAUUGGGCAAUGGGCGAAAGCCUGACCCAGCAACGCCGCGUGAAGGAAGAAGGUUUUCGGAUCGUAAACUUCUAUCCUUGGUGAAGAUAAUGACGGUAGCCAAGAAGGAAGCCCCGGCUAACUACGUGCCAGCAGCCGCGGUAAUACGUAGGGGGCAAGCGUUGUCCGGAAUGAUUGGGCGUAAAGGGCGCGUAGGCGGCCCGGUAAGUCUGAAGUGAAAGUCCUGCUUUUAAGGUGGGAAUUGCUUUGGAUACUGUCGGGCUUGAGUGCAGGAGAGGUAAGCGGAAUUCCCGGUGUAGCGGUGAAAUGCGUAGAGAUCGGGAGGAACACCAGUGGCGAAGGCGGCUUACUGGACUGUAACUGACGCUGAGGCGCGAAAGUGUGGGAAGCAAACAGGAUUAGAAACCCGUGUAGUCC